AUUGAACGCUGGCGGCAUGCCUUACACAUGCAAGUCGAGCGGUAGAAGGUCUUCGGCUGCUGGAGUGAGGGGCGCGGGGGUGUGUUACACCGAAACGUGCGCCGACGAGGGGGGUAACGCGGCGGGAGACGGGCUCAAAUAGCGUACGAGCCCUGGAUGAGAGAGGGGGGGAGCAUGGGCCUGCGCGCUUUGAGCGGACGCUGGGUCGGAUUAGCUAGUUGGUGGGGUAAAGGCCUACCAAGGCGACGAUCUGUAGCUGGUCUGAGAGGAUGACCAGCCACACUGGAACUGAGACACGGCCCAGACUCCUACGGGAGGCAGCAGUGGGGAAUAUUGGACAAUGGGCGAAAGCCUGAUCCAGCAAUGCCGCGUGUGUGAUGAAGGUCUUCGGGUUGUAAACCGCUUUUAGUCGGGACGAAGAGGAUCUGGCUAAUACCUUGGUGACAUGACGUUACCGUAAGAAUAAGCACCGGCUAACUACGUG
RNAcentral lists this ribosomal RNA (484 nucleotides) under uncultured bacterium. RNAcentral's name for it is "partial 16S ribosomal RNA". It matches the Rfam family "Bacterial small subunit ribosomal RNA", at positions 28 to 507 of the family's 1533-position model. The record is from RNAcentral.